AUUGAACGCUGGCGGCAUGCCUAACACAUGCAAGUCGAACGGCAGCACGGCAGUAGCAAUACUGUGGGUGGCGAGUGGCGGACGGGUGAGGAAUACGUCGGAAUCUGCCCAGUCGUGGGGAGUAACUAGCCGAAGGUUAGCUAAUACCGCAUACGACCGAGAGGUGAAAGACGGGGACCGGCAAGGCCUCGCGCGAUUGGAUGAGCCGACGUCGGAUUAGCUAGUUGGUGGGGUAAAGGACCCGACCAAGGCGACGAUCCGUAGCUGGUCUGAGAGGAUGAUCAGCCACACUGGAACUGAGACACGGUCCAGACUCCUACGGGAGGCAGCAGUGGGGAAUAUUGGACAAUGGGCGAAAGUCUGAUCCAGCCAUGCCGCGUGAGUGAAGAAGGCCUU
This 396-nucleotide ribosomal RNA is filed under the name uncultured bacterium. RNAcentral's name for it is "bacterial SSU rRNA". It matches the Rfam family "Bacterial small subunit ribosomal RNA", at positions 29 to 418 of the family's 1533-position model. The record is from RNAcentral.